CAAAGUUGUUGAACGCAGCAUGACGGUGUAGAGCGGGAAAAUCAGUCAAAGGGGAUUCACCGUCCUGUGCUGCAAUGGAGGAGAAGGUACCGACUUUUGAGCCAUACAAUACAUGUAUUGCAGUCCUGAAGCUGACCUGUUCAGAUACCAGAGGUUUUUCUAAAAAACAUGAUGACACCAGGUGGAAUGAUGCAUGGCAAGAUAGGUAAUUAAAUGACAAACAAGAGUUAUCAGUAUGCUAAAUAGAUGCCAUGCACCCACAUGAAGAUACUACAGUAAGGUAAAUCUAUGCAUAUGACUAAUUGCAAAUACUGUGUUAAAUACAUAUAGAAAAUCAGCACAUUGAAGGUGUUUAUUUUUUUCUGCAUUUACUCUAGGUGAAUCGCGAGCAGACAGUUGCUUCUCCAGUAUGUCCCUUUCUUCCACUGAAGAACUGUUUUUAAAAAAACAAGGACGAUGUGCAACUUUGGGUAAGUUAGUCAUUACAGAAACCUGAAGGACCAAUGAGAUUUAUGUUUAUUUGUGUACUAUAUAAAAUACAGCCAUUUUAAUGUUUAUUCAAUGUUAGUCUGCUAUCUGGGGAGUGAUAUAUGCAGAAUUAUCAUUCUUAAUAAACCUGAAAGUAAUAUGUCUUAAUAUCUCA
This 643-nucleotide long non-coding RNA is filed under the name Betta splendens (Siamese fighting fish). RNAcentral's name for it is "lncRNA (ENSBSLG00000020063.1)". The record is from RNAcentral. Lineage: Eukaryota; Metazoa; Chordata; Actinopteri; Anabantiformes; Osphronemidae.